UGAUUGUCAAACUGACGUACUUCUUCCGGUAACCAGUCGAGCGUCCUGAACGAUUGAUAGGUUUGUUAAUGAGAGUUUGAAUCCUAUGGUCUACUUUUGAGAGCGGUAACUAGUGUCUAAUUUACAUAUUUAGGCUGUCUAAAAUCUUUUCAAAAAAGAUCAUGAUCUGAAAAAUGUUUAAAAAGAAUUUAUUUGUGUAGAGAAAAUAAAAGAUAAUAAUCUUUAAAGGAUUAUUAAUAUUCUAAAUAAAGAUAACUUUUUAACAAUUUUGAGGUUGUGCAACGUUUAAUGGAUGGAUUGCGUGCCACUAACAAUUGGUGCUUUCUUUUGAUUCGCAUUCUUCAAAGAAUAAUUUCUCAUGAUGUUCGCUUCGUGGACCUUUAACAUUCAUUUCAUUGCACGAAAAUAGAUGUUUGCUUAGUAUGAAGAAAUUCGAAACAAGAUAAAAGUAAACAGAUUGAUCAAAUUCAAGGAGAUUGUUAUAAUUCGAAAAACGAUAUAACAAUAUUGACAAACGAUACUUAAAGCGGGUGAAACUAUCCAAAGCAUUCAUUCUUCAACAGGCCAUUGUUCUAUUUAUCGGUAUACAAGUACGAUCUUGCAAUUUCCUGCGAGCAAAUCUCGUUUCAUGAUUCUUUUUCUACAUGAUAUAGUAGGAUUGGUUUUGAAAUCGAAUUUAAAAUCCUGAAAAUAUUGUUGAGGCGAGUAUUUUGUUUAAAUUUCACGCAAAUAGUUAAAUACAAGUAAAGAAAAUUUAAUAUUGGAUAUUUUUAAAACUGUAAUAUGGAUCAAAAAAUAUAAAAUAUUUUAUAUUUCAUUUGCAAUUUUGAUAAAAUUUGUUCAUGAUAAUUACUUGCAAGAACUUAUACAUAAUAAAUUAUAAGUUAUAUAUAAAUAUCAAAAGUAAUCAUUCAUAGACAUAAUUCAUUUUGUUGAAUUAGAAUAUUGUAUUUGUAAUAAAAUAAUUAUUUUUUUAAAUAUUUCAUCAAACAUGUAUUGUUCACAGCAAGUACCGCUAGAUUCAUCGUAGCACAUUUACUAUAUGUGUAUCUAUAGUUACUAGUAGUAAAUACCAACCAGUUGGAUGUUACUAUUUUACGAUUAUGAACUACAUCGACUAGUCGGUCAAUUGAUAAAUUUAUUGUUUUCCAUGCACUUAAUCACUGUAACAUGACCGAUAUUUUGGAUUUUAAAUGAAAAUAAAAAUAUUUCAUAAUUAUUAUACAA
RNAcentral lists this long non-coding RNA (1227 nucleotides) under Apis mellifera (honey bee). RNAcentral describes it as "uncharacterized LOC102655682, transcript variant X2". The record is from RNAcentral. Lineage: Eukaryota; Metazoa; Arthropoda; Insecta; Hymenoptera; Apidae.